This is an RNA transcript of Lagenorhynchus albirostris (white-beaked dolphin), 2963 nucleotides long. It is a transcript of the gene named transformer 2 beta homolog, with no coding region annotated. The transcript is spliced from 10 exons. NCBI's taxonomy places the organism in Eukaryota, Metazoa, Chordata, Mammalia, Artiodactyla, Delphinidae. The record is from RefSeq and is a predicted model, not a curated record.
AGCCCGAGCGGAGGCGGUGCGGAGCGUUUCUCGUCUCAGCGGCUCGGGAACCAGUGCGUGCUGCGGAGCUGCGGCUGAGCCUCUAGGUAGAAGGCGCAAGAGGUUGGCAGCUUCGAUUGAAGCACGUCGGGCGGCGAGAGCAGCUAGAAGUCAUGAGCGACAGCGGCGAGCAGAACUACGGCGAGCGGGAAUCCCGUUCUGCUUCCAGAAGUGGAAGUGCUCAUGGAUCUGGGAAAUCUGCAAGGCAUACCCCUGCAAGGUCUCGCUCCAAGGAAGAUUCCAGGCGUUCCAGAUCAAAGUCCAGGUCCAGAUCUGAAUCUAGGUCUAGAUCCAGAAGAAGUUCUCGAAGGCAUUAUACAAGGUCACGAUCUCGGUCCCGCUCCCAUAGAAGAUCCCGUAGCAGAUCUUACAGUAGAGAUUAUCGAAGACGGCAUAGCCACAGUCAUUCUCCCAUGUCUACUCGGAGGCGUCAUGUUGGGAAUCGGGCAAAUCCUGAUCCCAACUGUUGUCUUGGAGUAUUUGGAUUGAGCUUAUACACUACAGAAAGAGAUCUAAGAGAAGUGUUCUCUAAAUAUGGCCCAAUUGCUGAUGUGUCUAUUGUAUAUGACCAGCAGUCUAGACGUUCAAGAGGAUUUGCCUUUGUAUAUUUUGAAAAUGUAGAUGAUGCCAAGGAAGCGAAAGAGCGUGCCAAUGGAAUGGAGCUUGAUGGACGUAGGAUCAGAGUUGAUUUCUCUAUAACAAAGAGACCACAUACCCCAACACCAGGAAUUUACAUGGGGAGACCUACCUAUGGCAGCUCACGCCGUCGAGAUUACUACGACAGGGGAUAUGAUCGAGGCUAUGAUGAUCGGGACUAUUACAGCAGGUCAUACAGAGGAGGAGGUGGAGGAGGAGGAGGAUGGAGAGCUGCUCAAGACAGGGAUCAGAUAUACAGGACUAAAACAGACCUUGAAAUCCUGUGACUAAUGCAAUAUUUUUCAAGAAGACGGUCACCUUCUCCCUACUAUAGUCGUGGAGGAUACAGAUCACGUUCCAGAUCUCGAUCAUACUCACCUCGUCGCUAUUAAAGCAUGAAGUUGAAGACUUUCUGAAACCUACCCUAGAGUUGGGAUAUUGUUUGUGGACAAUAUUUUUUAUUGUCUCCUGUUUAAAAAGUGAACAGUGCCUAGUGAAGUUAGGUGACUUUUACACCUUUUAUGAUGACUACUUUUGGUGGAGUUGAAAUGCUGUUUUCAUUCUGCAUUUGUGUAGUUCGGUGCUUUGUUCAAAGUUAAGUGUUUUCAGAAAAGUAUGUUUUGCAUGUAUUUUUUUACAGUCUGAAUUUUGACUGCUGAGAAGUUUCUAUUGUACAAAACUUCAUUUAAAAUGGUUUUUCUACUGAAUCCAGGGUAUUCUGAAGAUCGAAGCCUGUGUGUAAAAUGAGCUACCAAAUGGCAAAAAGCAACAAUAAAGUUUGGUUUUUACUUUUCUUUCUAACAUAUCAAUGGUUAGCAGAACUGUUCAGAAUAGACUGUCAGUAGUAAAUUCAAGACAAAAAUGCCCGUUUUCCUCCAGUCCAUAAAACAUAACCAUACUUAAUAUACCUGCAAUUAAGUGAUAAAAAUUAUGCUCUGUAACUCUAUACUGCUAGUAUUAGGCCUAAAGAUCUUUCAAUACAGCUAAUGCUUAAUAUAAAUGUGAAUUUGUCGGCGUUUAUAUAAUCUGUGUUAUAUAUAUAGCAGGGAAUAAGAUAAGAGUUACACAAUGAACGCCUUUAAAAGGCUGUUUCUUAAAGCUGUUACAAGGGGAUAAUGGUAUUUCAACUAGUUAUCAGCAAGUGACAAUACAUUCCACCACAAAUGUACUCUUGUUCUUCUAGCUUUUAGAUUAUAUGGAAAAACUGGGUGCUUUAGGGUUUGAGAAAGAGAGAAGGGAACACUACACCUGUUGUGGAUGAACUGAAGACUUUGCCUGUUCAUUUUUUAAAUAUUAUUUUCAGGUCCUUUGCUUACCAAAGGAGGCCCAAUUUCACUCAAAUGUUUUGAGAACUGUGUUUAAAUAAACGCAAAUGAAAAGAGUAAAAGGCUGGUACAACUCAGUUUAUAAAGAUUUUGUUUUAACCUUGCUACAUAUAUAAUUAAGAGUUCUUUUGGACUCAGUUGUAUUCUUUUUGUUGUUAUUGGUGUUCUAAAUAGAUAAAUUGUGUAUUCCUGGCAGAUAAAUCAAAGUGAGUAACUAGGUAUUGGAGUGAUCAUCUCCACUUGCAGAUGGUGUUAUAUUAAAAUAACUCUAGUCUCCACACUUGCCCUGAAGGUACCUGAAAUGCACAUUCUUCUUAGUUUAUUUUUCAUGGUCAUUUCUAGCGAAAUUGCUAUAGGCAGGUAAUUAAAGUUUGUUAGCCUGCUGACCUUUGUAUUAUUACUUAAAUACAGUAUAGUGUGUCCCAGGUACUUUGUAAAGCACUUCCCAUAUAUUAAUAUGUUCAGUCUACGUCAAUCAAAAUGGUGUAGUAAUUUACCUUAGGUCAAACAGCUGUUAAAACAGCAAUGCUGGGAUCUGAACUUGACCAGUCUCAAUCCAUACUCUGUACUCUUAAUCAUGAUUUCAUUCUGCCUCUAACCUGGGUAACCAGAUGAUUAAAAAUACUGGUAAUGGAGUGUAGGCAUUAUUUGUAGGCCUAAAUUUGCCAAACUUACUGGACAGGUAGAGAUAGGCUGAAGAGUGGUGAGACUCCUUUCCUGUUCUGAGAUAAGAAAGCAAGUAGUAAUCUGUUAGUGUGCUAUGAUGGUAGUUACCUGGUUUACAAAAAGGGUUUUUGUAAGCCAUAAAACAGUGUAUAAGCAUAAGAAUUGAAGACCAUGCGUAUGGAAGGUGUAAAUGGUCACUUCCUCACAGUAGAAUUUGGUACAAACAGGUCCCUUUAAGACUUACUGUUCACACUAUGGAACAUUUUGUUCCCAUAAUUAAAGCUUUCUUACAUUUAA